RNAcentral lists this non-coding RNA (98 nucleotides) under uncultured Entomoneis. Lineage: Eukaryota; Bacillariophyta; Bacillariophyceae; Surirellales; Surirellaceae. The record is from RNAcentral.
ACAUGCCCAUUACUGGAUUGCUAUAUAUGGAUACUCAACCUUUGGCGGAAUCUAGCCAUUUUACAUUGCCCACGGAAUAUCAAUAAUCAACAAUAUAA